CUUUUAUAUAAAAACUAAAAAUUGUAAGAAAAUAUAUGAGGUUAUUAUUGAAUGUGCUUGGUUUUAAUAUUUUAAAGAUUUAUUUUCUUGUAGUUAAUUUUAUCAAAAUGGCGGAUAUAAAUGGUGAAGGCGAUCCUUUGGGUGAAGAAAUUGAAGCCAGAGAAAAUGGGGAACAUAACGAAGAGUUACCAGAAGGUGCUGUUGAUGAUACGGGUGAAGAACAAAAUAUUGAAGAUCCCGUAAGUUAUUCUUUAUAAAAUUUGAUAUAAUGGAAUCUGUACCCGUAAUCCUAGUUAGUCUUAUUGUAACAAUUCACUUCACGUGUAAUAGAACAGAACAGCAUGUUCUAAAUUUAUCAUUAUCGAUAAAUUAUUUCAUACAUAUCACGCC
RNAcentral lists this long non-coding RNA (390 nucleotides) under Androctonus crassicauda. The record is from RNAcentral. Lineage: Eukaryota; Metazoa; Arthropoda; Arachnida; Scorpiones; Buthidae.